GCCCUCGUAGUGAAACGGAUAUCACGCGUGGCUUCGAACCACGAGCUUGGGGUUCAACUCCUCACGAGGGCACCA
This 75-nucleotide transfer RNA is filed under the name Minisyncoccota bacterium. RNAcentral describes it as "tRNA-Arg". It matches the Rfam family "tRNA". Rfam says of the family: Transfer RNA (tRNA) molecules are approximately 80 nucleotides in length. Their secondary structure includes four short double-helical elements and three loops (D, anti-codon, and T loops). The record is from RNAcentral. Lineage: Bacteria; Bacillati; Minisyncoccota.